AAGUCGUAACAAGGUCUCCGUUGGUGAGCCAGCGGAAGGGAUCAUUACUGAGUACUACACUCUCUACCCUUUGUGAACUAUUAUACCUGUUGCUUCGGCGGCGCCCGCAAGGGUGCCCGCCGGUCUCAUCAGAAUCUCUGUUUUCGAACCCGACGAUACUUCUGAGUGUUCUUAGCGAACUGUCAAAACUUUUAACAACGGAUCUCUUGGCUCCAGCAUCGAUGAAGAACGCAGCGAGAACGCAAUAUGUAAUGUGAAUUGCAGAAUUCAGUGAAUCAUCGAAUCUUUGAACGCACAUGGCGCCUUCCAGUAUCCUGGGAGGCAUGCCUGUCCGAGCGUCGUUUCAACCCUCGAGCCCCUGUGGCCCGGCGUUGGGGAUCUGCCACGGCAGGCCCCUAAAACCAGUGGCGGACCCGAAGGGCCCUCUCCUUUGCGCAGUAGCAUUCGCCUCGCAUCGGGAGUCCUCGGCGUCCUGCCUCUAAACCCCCCACAAGCCCGCUUCGGCGGCACCAAGGUUGACCUCGGAUCAGGUAGGAAUACCCGCUGAACUUAA
Molecule: ribosomal RNA, 553 nt
Filed under: uncultured fungus
Lineage: Eukaryota; Fungi
Description: eukaryotic LSU rRNA
Rfam family: 5.8S ribosomal RNA (bases 187-341)
Source: RNAcentral